GAUGAACGCUGGCGGCGUGCCUAAUACAUGCAAGUCGAGCGAACAGACGAGGAGCUUGCUCCUUUGACGUUAGCGGCGGACGGGUGAGUAACACGUGGAUAACCUACCUAUAAGACUGGGAUAACUUCGGUAAACCGGAGUUAAUACCGGAUAACUUGUUGAACCGCUUGGUUCAACAGUGAAAGACGGUCUUGCUGUCAUUUUUAGAUGGAUCCGCGCCGCAUUAGCUAGUUGGUAAGGUAACGGCUUACCAAGGCAACGAUGCGUAGCCGACCUGAGAGGGUGAUCGGCCACACUGGAACUGAGACACGGUCCAGACUCCUACGGGAGGCAGCAGUAGGGAAUCUUCCGCAAUGGGCGAAAGCCUGACGGAGCAACGCCGCGUGAGUGAAGAAGGUCUUCGGAUCGUAAAACUCUGUUAUUAGGGAAGAACAAAUGUGUAAGUAACUAUGCACGUCUUGACGGUACCUAAUCAGAAAGCCACGGCUAACUACGUG
RNAcentral lists this ribosomal RNA (497 nucleotides) under uncultured bacterium. RNAcentral's name for it is "partial 16S ribosomal RNA". It matches the Rfam family "Bacterial small subunit ribosomal RNA", at positions 28 to 507 of the family's 1533-position model. The record is from RNAcentral.